UGAGGUGAAGUUUCAGGAAGUUCAUGACGUU
Molecule: non-coding RNA, 31 nt
Filed under: Macaca fascicularis (crab-eating macaque)
Lineage: Eukaryota; Metazoa; Chordata; Mammalia; Primates; Cercopithecidae
Also listed under: 1 other name
Source: RNAcentral